RNAcentral lists this non-coding RNA (48 nucleotides) under Schistosoma mattheei. Lineage: Eukaryota; Metazoa; Platyhelminthes; Trematoda; Strigeidida; Schistosomatidae. The record is from RNAcentral.
AUCCAGCUGACGAUUCCCAAAUAGGACGAAAUGAGAGUCGAACUGGAU